AUCUUAUCAAGAGUGGUGGAGGGACUGGCCCUGAGAAACCCGGCAACCUAAAUAUUGUAUAAAAGUCGAUAUUUAUAUGGUGCUAAUUCCAGCAGCAUUAGCUGAUAGAUGAGAG
Molecule: non-coding RNA, 115 nt
Filed under: Clostridium chromiireducens
Lineage: Bacteria; Bacillati; Bacillota; Clostridia; Eubacteriales; Clostridiaceae
Description: SAM-I sequence
Rfam family: SAM riboswitch aptamer (S box leader)
About the family: The SAM riboswitch is found upstream of a number of genes which code for proteins involved in methionine or cysteine biosynthesis in Gram-positive bacteria. The SAM riboswitch acts at the level of transcription termination control. The predicted structure consists of a complex stem-loop region followed by a single stem loop terminator region.
Source: Rfam by way of RNAcentral